GACGAACGCUGGCGGCGUGCCUAAUACAUGCAAGUCGAACGAACCGCGACUAGGUGCUUGCACUUGGUCAAGGUGAGUGGCGAACGGGUGAGUAACACGUGGGUAACCUACCUCAUAGUGGGGGAUAACAGUCGGAAACGACUGCUAAUACCGCAUAGGACAUAGGAUCACAUGAUUCUGUGAGGAAAGGUGGCGCAAGCUAUCGCUAAGAGAUGGACCCGCGGUGCAUUAGCUAGUUGGUAGGGUAAAGGCCUACCAAGGCGAUGAUGCAUAGCCGACCUGAGAGGGUGAUCGGCCACAUUGGGACUGAGACACGGCCCAGACUCCUACGGGAGGCAGCAGUAGGGAAUCUUCCGCAAUGGACGCAAGUCUGACGGAGCAACGCCGCGUGAGUGAAGAAGGUCUUCGGAUCGUAAAGCUCUGUUGUUAGAGAAGAACAGCGCAUAGAGUAACUGUUAUGCGUGUGACGGUAUCUAACCAGAAAGCCACGGCUAACUACGUG
Molecule: ribosomal RNA, 502 nt
Filed under: uncultured bacterium
Lineage: Bacteria
Description: partial 16S ribosomal RNA
Rfam family: Bacterial small subunit ribosomal RNA
Source: RNAcentral